Long non-coding RNA from Pezoporus flaviventris, 2306 nucleotides. RefSeq lists it as uncharacterized. The transcript is spliced from 2 exons. The record is from RefSeq and is a predicted model, not a curated record. Lineage: Eukaryota; Metazoa; Chordata; Aves; Psittaciformes; Psittacidae.
UUACAUUUGCUAAUGAACAGGGCUUCAGCAGAUGAAGGACUAGAUACACUCAAAUAAAAAAUAGUAGAAGUGAGAAAGUUGAUAAAUGUGAUUUUUAAACUUUUUUUGCAUGCAAACAUGAACCAUCUAUUUUAUGCGCUCUUUAAAGCACAGAAAAAACCUCUAUGUAGUAUUUUUUUCUGCCGUACACCUGUACUACAGCCAUAACCAACAGUUUCCUUGAAUUAACUAUUAUUUUUACAGUAGCAGUACUAGUGUAUUUUAACUAUGAAAGGCUUUUACAUUAAAAAGUAUUUAUCUUGUUAUAAGUAUUUCCAUUAGAUUUAGAGAUUUGUAUUGGACAUUCAACAUAGACAGUAUUCAAAAAGGACCUAAGGUUGCGCUUUGUAAUAAAGCUAAAAAGGAAAAGAGGGAAUACAAUAAACCAGAAACUUGUAACAUGCUUCUGUGAGAGUAAAAAUGGAUUUAUGUAUUAAGACAAGCUUAUCAAUAUGAUAAAGUUAAAUUUAGUGUUACAAUAUUUAUCAAAAAUAUUGUAACAUAAUUGUAAAAACAUAGAAAAAAAGAAAUACCAUCAGUUUACCUUUGUUUCUUUAUAGGCUGGUAUUAAUGACUUAAAGCACUCAAAUAUGAAAUUUAUACAAUGAUCAAUACGUUUCCUUAUAUGUUCUUUCAAAUGCAAUUUCAUAUUUAGAUGUAAUCAUUUUAAACAACUUUUAUAGCAUCACAGCUUCAGACUAAUGCCAUUCAUCUGAGGGAAACACCCCACUUCCACAACUGUCUGUCUGAACCAUAUGACCAAAGCCAAAACUGCUGUAAUUUCAGAGUAGCAGACCAGGCAUAUGCUUUUAUACAUCAGAGUAUAAUGGGCUAUGAGGGAUCUGAGACAACACCAGGUUAGUUGGAAACAGUACCUAAAAGCUUGGAGAUGCUGAACACAAAAAUACAUUGUGAUAGAGGUUUGAAAAAGUAUAUCUGUAUGUAAAUUUUUUUGCUACUUUUGUCCUGACAGUAACAGCAACCACAUGCCUGUUGCAAGUAAAAAUAAAUGACGAAAGAAUACAGAAUCUGCAUGUCCACUUGUUUUCCUCAAAACAACAAGUUAUCUUAAGGGAGUGAUGUGGCCUGCAAAAGACAAGGAAUAGUUCAAAGGCUAAAUUCAGCUGAAAGGGAGGGUAAAGGUAGAAACACAAAUGAGAUAAAAGAAAAUGACAACAGAUAAGAACUGAGUGAUGCCCUGUGACAGGACCAGAGGCAGUGGGCACAAACUGAAACAUAGAAGGAUCCUUCUCAACAUCAGGAAACAGCUUUUUACUGUGAGGGUGACAGCACUGGCACAGUGAGGCUAUGGAUGUUAUUGCCAGCCUUGGAGGUAUUCAAAAGCUGUCUGAACACCGUCCCAGGUAACCAGCUUCAGAUGGCCCAGCUUGAACAAGGAUUGGACCAAAUGACCUCCAGAGGUCCCUUUUAAUCUCAGGAACUGUGGUUCUGUAGCACUUGCCCAGUGGAUUUAGACUACUUGGUCCAAGUAAAUGCUGUUAUUACGUUCUUUCUUACCAAACACUACCGAUCAAAUAUUUACCUUGACCUUACAGAGAAAAAGUGCCUGCGGUACCUCUACAGAAGUAGAUUAAUGAAACACAGUAAUCACAGCCCAAUGCUAUACCUCCUAAGAUGUCAGCCAGCAAUGGCUAUUGCCCUCCAAUCCAAUUCGUAAAAGAGUAUUUCUAAAAGAUACCAUAAUUCCUUGCAUUUGCGCAAGUUUCCUGUAGGACAGAUUCCUAGUGACCUUAGCAAGAGUCUGUAAUUACUCAUUACAUAAAGGCCCCUUUUCAGUGCUCAAGAAAGUGAGGAGCAGCUUCGUACCAUCUAGAUGACAGUUGAAGAUGAGCAAUAUUAACUUUAAAUAGAAAAUUAAUCUUUUUAUAGACUAUGCUUAAUCCUUGGGCAGAACCUUACAGUUAUUAGUACCACCUGGUGCAAUAUGCAUAAAAUUCGCUGCCACUGUUGAGACAGUCCAAAGCUUAUGCUAGAUUUCAAUUCCACUUAAGGUUUCAAAUAAGGAUUUAAAUGGGGUUUUGGAAUGUGGAGUGAAAGGGCCGGCUAAGCUAGUCAUUUGCCAAGGUGGUGCACUUGCUGUGAACUCAUUGUGUGUGGUGUCUAGGCCUAAAUAUGCAAAGGAAUAGAAUAUGCCUUCACUAAAUUUUAUAAAUAAAUUCUGACUGUACAUAUAAUUUUAAAUAUGGGUUUCAUAUAGAUGAUAAAAUAUGUUGCAAAAAAAUAAAAAGAACAAUGUCUUAUCUGGU